Dipodomys ordii (Ord's kangaroo rat) is the source of this 70-nucleotide non-coding RNA. The record is from Rfam. NCBI's taxonomy places the organism in Eukaryota, Metazoa, Chordata, Mammalia, Rodentia, Heteromyidae.
GGUAAUGUGGCUUAGUGGUAGAGUGCUUGCCUAGCAUGCAUAAAGCUCUUGGUUCAAUUCCUCAGUACCA